UCUGUUCUUCACCUUAUUUUGCAAGGCAGGUUAACUUUUGAAUUCUGAAAUCCAGGAAAGUGAAUACAGCUGCUUUGCUUUUGGGCCUUGAUUGUCUUAUCAACGUCCCAUAUGUAGAUGAUAUCGAGGAUUUUAAGGAAUACAUACUUUUUGUCAUGGUCAUUUGAGAUGUGUUAUAUCUCUGUGAAAUCACAACGAGAAAAGAUAACAAAGUUGUUAUUGCACGUAAUAUCAUGUAUGUUGUGGAACAGUAUUUUUGGUUUUUAAGAGCUCAUUGGACAUUUCUAAAAGCUGUUGUGAAUAAGUUUCUUUAGUUUUUGCAUAAGACGCACCCUGGAGUUCAGGUUAUGUUUUAUUCCUAUGUUUUCUGUCCUACUUUUUCUUAUAUCAACAACUUAGUUUAUGUCCCUGUGCGUGUGCCUAUGUGUGUGUGCUCUACGUGCUCAUUUCUGUGUGCUCUGUGUCUGUACUAUGUGCUGUAUGCCUUUGUUUGCCUGAGUCAUUGUGUGUGCAUGCUGUGUUUUGUAUGUGUUUCUACGUUCGUGUAUCUGUCUUUUUUGUGUUCACAGGUGGCAUCCCUUUAGUCUGGGAACACUACCAAUAUUCUUGAGGCAUAUUCAUGCGGUUCAAGUGAGG
Non-coding RNA from Cajanus cajan (pigeon pea), 636 nucleotides. The record is from RefSeq and is a predicted model, not a curated record. NCBI's taxonomy places the organism in Eukaryota, Viridiplantae, Streptophyta, Magnoliopsida, Fabales, Fabaceae.